Molecule: RNA transcript, 10453 nt
Organism: Nyctereutes procyonoides (raccoon dog)
Lineage: Eukaryota; Metazoa; Chordata; Mammalia; Carnivora; Canidae
Gene: PDE7A
Gene name: phosphodiesterase 7A
Exons: 14
Source: RefSeq, a predicted model, not a curated record
GCCCCUUCCCAGCGCAGGGGCCGGCGGCCGCGGCCGGGCGGGCGCCGCGCGGGGGCAGGGCGGGCGUAUUCAAUGGAAGUAUGUUACCAGCUGCCGGUGCUGCCCCUGGACAGGCCGGUCCCCCAGCACGUCCUCAGCCGCCGAGGAGCCAUCAGCUUCAGCUCCAGCUCCGCGCUCUUCGGAUGCCCCAAUCCCCGGCAACUCUCACAGAGGCGUGGAGCUAUUUCCUAUGACAGUUCUGACCAGACUGCGUUGUACAUUCGUAUGCUAGGAGAUGUACGCGUAAGGAGUCGAGCAGGAUUUGAAUCAGAAAGAAGAGGUUCUCAUCCGUAUAUUGAUUUUCGUAUUUUUCAUGCUCAAUCUGAAAUUGAAGUUUCUGUGUCUGCAAGGAAUAUCAGAAGGUUACUAAGUUUCCAGCGUUAUCUUAGAUCUUCACGCUUUUUUCGUGGUACUACCGUUUCAAAUUCUCUAAACAUUUUAGAUGAUGAUUAUAAUGGACAAGCCAAGUGUAUGCUGGAAAAAGUUGGAAAUUGGAAUUUUGAUAUCUUUCUAUUUGAUAGACUAACAAAUGGAAAUAGUCUAGUAAGUUUAACCUUUCAUUUAUUUAGUCUUCAUGGAUUAAUUGAGUACUUCAAUUUAGAUAUGAUGAAACUUCGUAGAUUUUUAGUUAUGAUUCAAGAAGAUUACCACAGUCAGAACCCUUACCACAAUGCAGUCCAUGCUGCAGAUGUUACUCAGGCCAUGCACUGUUACUUAAAAGAACCUAAGCUUGCCAGUUCUGUAACUCCUUGGGAUGUCUUGCUGAGCUUAAUUGCGGCUGCCACUCAUGAUCUGGAUCAUCCAGGUGUUAAUCAACCUUUCCUUAUUAAAACUAACCAUUACUUGGCAACUUUAUACAAGAAUACCUCAGUACUGGAAAAUCACCACUGGAGAUCUGCAGUGGGAUUAUUGAGAGAAUCUGGUUUAUUCUCACAUAUGCCAUCAGAAAGCAGGCAACAAAUGGAGACUCAGAUAGGUGCUUUGAUACUAGCCACAGACAUCAGUCGCCAAAAUGAGUAUCUGUCAUUGUUUAGGUCCCAUUUGGACAGAGGUGACUUACGCCUAGAAGAUUCCAGGCAUAGGCAUUUGGUUUUACAGAUGGCUUUGAAAUGUGCUGAUAUUUGUAACCCAUGUCGGACCUGGGAAUUAAGCAAGCAGUGGAGUGAAAAAGUAACAGAGGAGUUCUUCCAUCAAGGAGAUAUAGAAAAGAAGUAUCAUUUGGGUGUGAGUCCUCUUUGUGAUCGUCAGACUGAAUCUAUUGCCAACAUCCAGAUUGGUUUCAUGACUUACCUAGUGGAGCCUUUAUUCACAGAAUGGGCCAGGUUUUCCAAUACCAGGCUCUCCCAGACAAUGCUCGGACAUAUGGGGCUGAACAAAGCCAGUUGGAAGGGGCUGCAGAGAGAACAGUCCACCAGUGAGGACACUGAUGCUGCGUUCGAGGAGUUGAACUCACAGUUAUUACCUCAGGAAAAUCGAUUAUCAUAGCCCCCAGAGUCAGUGGGACAGACUGUCUCCUGCAGGUGUUUAGAAAUGUGAAAUGGGGUCUCAAGGUGAGAGGACUUGCUCUUGACUGCCAAGGUUUCCGAAGGAACAAGGCCAGCGUUAUUUAUUCCCAAGGUGUCCUCUCUCGGAUCACGCAACCCCACUUUUUAAUUAUAAGACCUGAACAUAUAGCAAUAUGCAUUUGGCUUUCGUGAGAAACCUUGAAUAUGCAAAGCCCAGCAGGAGCGAACCGGAGAGGAGGAACAAAAGGAAGCUUUGAGGUGUGCCACCGAGUCUUUCCAAGCAUUUAUUCCUCGAACCACGAAACUUGAACUGGAUCUUUCAGCAGAAAUCUCUUGGAAUUUAACCAAUCUGAUGCAACAUUGUGUAUCUGUACCUUCCACUAAGUUCUCUCUGAGAAAAUGGAAAUGUGAAGUGCCCAGCCUCUGCUGCCUCCUGCAAGACUCGAUGUUUACAAAUCCACUCUGAAAUACUGGUUCUAAAUUGCCUUGGAGCAUGAUUGUGAAGGAACCACUAAGAAUUUUAAAGAUCAAACUUUUAACCUGCAGCUCUUUCCCUCUGGUUUGCCUUGUUUCUUCUUUGGAUGCCACCAAAGCCUCCCAUUUGCUGUAGUUUUAUUUUGCGCACUGGAAACUGAGCAUUUAUCAUAGAGUACCGCCAAGCUUUCACUCCAGUGCCGUUUGGCAAUGCAAUUUUUUUUUUUUUUAACUCUUAGUUUUUAAUUUGGGGCGGGCGGGGAAGAACACCAAUGUCCUAGCUGUAUUAUGAUUCUGCAGUGAAGACAUUGCAUGUUGUUUUCACUACUGUACACUUGACCUGCACAUGCAAGAAAAAGGUGGAAUGUUUAAAACACCAUAAUCAGCUCAGGGUAUUUGCCAAUCUGAAAUAAAGUGGGAUGGGGAAGUGUGUCCUUCAGAGCAAGGGUACUAAAGUCCCUUUCGCUGCAGUGAGUGAGAGGCAAAUCUUCUUGGGAAGUCAAAUUAUGAUCAGCCGGUUACUUGAUGAGCAUGGAUUCUGAGCAAGGGAAGCAAGUUGCCUCAUGCAUCCAUCUCCCUACGGGGAUGUGCCUGCUGAUAUUCAUGUUGGUGGACCAGGGUACACUCUUCCCCUGGAUGAUGCUAGAGAUUCUCUGCCAGUAGUUGCUUCUCCACAUCAGCUUCUGAUUGGCACAUCCAGUAGAUCUGUCAGUACCUUCAGCUUUGUCUCAGUUGAACCUGCCUGGGCUCCAUCUGCCGGAUGAUUGCUUACUUCUGCUCUGAUCCAUUAUGUGUUUCUUAUUGUUUGAUAGAGGAUUAGCUUAUUUCCAUUCUUGGCGGAGACACCUCAGUGUUGCUCCCAUUUCCUGCCUACACAUAUAAUAAACCCACUGGCAAGUUAUGUUUUGUUACAUAUAUAUGGAAGUCACAGUCUAUAUAGCCCUGUUUCUUAAAUAUAACUUAGGUUCCUUGAACAUUGAUUUUCUAGAAAAAUUUGAAGAAACAGUUCAAUAAUUUAGAAGAUUACACUUAAAAUGUUAUGGAACAAUUAAAAUUCACAUGAAUUUUUAAAACAGGAGACUUCAAAGAAUUGUUGAGCAUGUAGCAGCCUUUCAGGGCUCUAGGCCCAACACUUCAGUGGUCAGGGGGCAUCUCCUCUGCUCUGGAGGUAAAGGUCCGUGGAGAGAAAAUUUUGGCACAAGCCUUAGCUUAAUGAAAAAAAAAAAAAUCUGGUACGUGGCUAAUAUUUGUAUUCUGUAAAUGUGAUGGUUUAUAAGGAUCCUCUUUGUAUAAAAGAAGCAAAUAUUUUAUGUCCUUUACAAACCGGGGAAAUCUAUUUGUACCUGAGGUACAGGUUAGAGGUGCUAGUAAUUCUUUGAAGAUUCCUAAAAUGGUUUCUUUUCCCAAAAUGCUUUCUUGGCUCUUUAAGCUUUCAGUUUUCUUAAAACUCUGAAAUUUUUGCAUCACAGGUUUACAAUGUUUUCAUGUGUACUUUUUUUAAUGUAUAAAUAUUUUGUUUAAAUCCUCUCCCAAUCAGUAUCUCCUGCUUGAGAAAAUAUAUAAUGAUCGACAGCUAAUACGCAUUCAUUGAUGUUUUUAAAUAAAUGUGCAUAUUAAUCACCAUGGCAUCGGCGUACAUGUGAAACAUACUGUUGCAAGAUAUGUGCAAGACUUAGUCUGAGCCAUUCCUUGCUUGCUAAGGAUCUGCAGACAUCCUUUGUCUUUGGAAGGCCCCCCAAGGGUCCAUGGUCUGUCGGUGGAAUGCUCACUACCUGGAGGUGAGCUACCAGGGGGCUCACCGCAGGUCUCAUCCACCUUUUAGUCUCUUGUGCUUAGCACAGGGCUAGCGUAAAUUGGGCCAUCACUAAAUGUUUGUUGAACAAACUAAUUUGGUAUUAAUGUGUUUCCUCUUUAGCCAUCAGUCUAACAUUAAGCAAUUCUAUCAAAACUAGUGUGUGCUGAAUCAUGUGGUCAGCAACAUCUAGGUUCCUGUUGUGUGCAGAGAGCACUGCACUGGUUGUAAUAAAGGUAUUAAAAAUUACAAAACCCUGGUCUCUGUUCUCAAAAUGUUUGGGUGACAAAAUGAUGUGUGUUCUCGAAUAUGGCAGGUUUCUGUAUUCUACAAAAUGACUGCCGAGUAUUGGGGUGUGGUUUAGGAGAAUGGUUUCAUUUGAUUAGUGAUGAAAAUGAUACCAUUUCUAGUAAUUCUUGCAUUUUUUAACAUCCAUGACCAAUAAAAUCAUUUAGCUUUCAAGUUUGAUUCUAAAAAUAUAGUCUCCACAUCCUCCCCAACACUUAUUUUUCCUUUUUGAUAAUAGUCAAUCUGAUAGGUAUGAAGUGAUACUGUGGUUUCAAUUUAAUUUAUGAUGGUGAGCAUCAUUUCAUGUGCCUCGCCUCUUGGCCAUCUUUAUGUCAUCUGUGGAAAAAUAUCCAGGUCCUCUACCCAUUUUUUUAAUUGGGUUAUUUAUUUUUUUUAUACAAGUUGUAGAAGCUCUUUAUAUAUUUUGUAUAUUAAGCCCUUAUUUUCAGGUAUCUUCUACCACUAAGUGGGUUGCCUUUUCGUUUUGUUGAUGGGUUUCCUUUGUUGUACAAAACUUUGAUAUGAUCCAGCUUGUUAUUUUAGAUUUUGUUGCCCUUGCCUGAGGAGACUGGUCCAAAACCAUAUUUCUAAGACCAAUGUCAAAGGUAGCACUGUGUAUGGUUUCUUCUAGGAAGUUAUGGUUUUAGGUCUCAUAUUCAAAUCUUUAAUCUGUUUGAAUUUAUUUUUGUAUACAGUAUAAGAUAGUGGCCAGUUUUCCAAGGCCAUUUAUUGAGAUAUUGUACAUCCUUGGCUCCUUUGUCAUAGAUUGACUGUAUAUGCCUGGAUUUAUUUAUGGGCUUUUUAUUCUGUUCCAUUCAUCUAUAGGUCUAUUUUUAUGCCAAUAUCAUACUGUUUUAGUUACUAGAUUUUUAUAAUAGCCUUUGAAAUCACAGUGCCUCCAGCUUUCUUGUUCUCAUGAUUGCUUUGGCUAGGGGAACCCAGGUGGCUCAGUUGGUUAAGCGUCUACUCAGGUCAUGAUCUCAGAAUCCUAGGAUUGAGUCCCACAUCAGGCUCCCUGCUUAGUGGGAAGUCUGCUUCUCCCUCUGCCUCUGCCCCUCCCCCCUGCUUGAGUUUUCUCUCUCAAAAUCUUUAAAGAAAUAAAGAUUGCUUUGGCUAUUUGUGUGUGUGUGUGGGGGGGCAUCUUUUGUGAUUCCAUACAAAUUUUAGGAUUAUUUGUUCUAGUUCUGUGAAAAAUGCUGUUGGUACUUUGAUAUGGAUUGCACUGAAUCUGUAGAUUGAGUAGGAGCAUUUUAACAAUAUUCUUUGAAUCCAUGAACAUGGUAUGUGUCAUCUUCAAUUUCUUUCACCUGUGUCUUAUAGUUUUCAUAGUAUAGGUUUUCACUUCCUUAAAUUUAUUCCCAGGUAUUUUCUUCUUUUUGAUAUAGUUAUAGAUGGGAUUAUUUUCCUAAUAGCUCCUGUUAGUGUAUAGAACUACAACUGAUUUCUAUGUUAAUUUUAUAUACUAGCUUGUUUAAAAAAGAUUUAUAUUUUAGAGGGGGAAGGAGGGGCAGAGGGAGAGAACGAAUCUCAGACUCCCUGCUGAGCAUGUAGCUCAAUGCUGGAGCUCAAUGCGGGGCUCCAUCCCACAACCCUGAGAUCAUGAUCUGAGCCGAAAUGAAGAGUUGGAAUCUUAACUGGCUGAGUCCCCCAGGUAUCUCUGUAUACUGCUUCUUGACAACUCAUUGAUAUAGUUAUGAUAGUGUUUUGGUGGAGUCUAGGUUUUUUAGUAAGUGUGUCAACUGCAAAUACUGAGUUUUACUGCUUUUCCUAUUUGGGAUUUUCUUUUUCUUUCCUGAUUGCUGUAGCUAGACUUCCUAAUACUAUGUUAAAUAAAAGUGGUAAGAGUGGCCAUCCUUGUCUUAGGAAAAGCUUAGCUUUUCACCAUUGGGGAUUAGGUUACCUGUGGGUUUGUCAUACGUGGCCUUAAUUAUUUUCAGAUAUGUUCCUUCUAUACUCACUUUAUCAUAAAUGGAUAUCAAAUUUUGUCAAAUGGUUUUUUCCUGCAUCUGUUGAGAUAACCAUACAAUUUUUAUCCUCGUUUUGUUAAUGUGGUGUAUCACAAGGAUUUGCAGAUGUCCAACCAUCCGUGCAUCCUUGGAAUACAUCUCAUUGGAUUCUGGUGUAUGGCCCCUUUAACACACUAAAUUCUGUAUGUAAUACUUUGUUGAAUAUUUUUGCAUCAAUGUGCAUCAAGGAUAUUUGACCUGUGGUUUUCUUUUCUUAUGGUUUGUCUUUCAAUAUCAGGGUAAUGGUGGACUGUGUAGUCUUUAUUAUUUCCUUCCUUCUACUAACUUCAGAUAUAAAGUUAGGUUGUUUACUUGGGAUUUUUCUCAUUUCUUGAGGUAGGCUUGUUUUGCUAUGGACUUCCCUCUUAGAACUGCUUUUUGCUGCAUUCUAUGGCUUUUGGAAAGUUCAGUUUUUAUUGUCUCAAAGUGUUUCUCUUUGAUUUCUUCAUUGACUUACUGUUGAGUAACGUUUUUUUAGUCUCCAUGUGUCUAUCAGUUUUCUUGUAUUUGAUUUCUAGUUUCAUACUGUUGUGAGAAGAGACAACAUAUUGCAUUCUUGAAUUUAUUGAAACUUGUUUUGUAGCCUCCUGUGAUCUCUCCUGGAGAAUGUUCUGUGCACACUUGAAAAGAAUCUGUAUUCUAUAGUUUUGGGGACGGAAUAUUUUGUAUUUAUUAAGUCCAUCUGGCCUAAUGUGUCAUUUAAGGGCAAUGUUUCUUUAUUGAUUCUCUCUCUGAAUGAUCUAUCCAUUGAUGUAAGUGGGGUGCUAAUGGGCCCUAUUGAAGUUUUACUGUUAUUUUCCCUCAUGUCUGGAUCUAUUAAUAUUUUACUUUAUAUAUUUACAUGCUCCUAUGUUGGCUCGUAGAUAUUUACAAAUGUUAUGUCUUCUUCUUGGACCAACUCCUUUAUCAUUAUGUAAUGCCCUUGUCUUUGGUACAGUCUUUUGUUUUUUUUUUUUUUUGUUUGUUUGUUUUUAAGAUUUUAUUUGAGUGAGUGUGAGGGCAGGGAGGGAAAGAACAGAGGGAGAGGGACAAGCCGACUCCAAUGCAGUGUGUGGCCCAAUGCAGGAAGGGCCUGAUCUCAGGAUCCUGAGAUCAUGACCUGAGCCCAAAUCAAGAGUUGGACACUUACCACCCCUAUGUCUUUCAACUUAAGUAUUGAGUUCAUUUUUUUCCAAAUCAAAUGCAACAUUUAUUAAUAUAUUAGCUACAUUUUUUGCCAACAGUCAACGAGUCAAAUGAACAAACUGAUCACAAGUGAACCUCAUUUUAGUCAAAACUCUGAUGUACUCUUGGGAUGCCUGGGUGACUCAGUGGUUGAGCAUCUGCCUUUGGCUCAGAGUGUGAUCCUGGAGUCCCAGGAUGGAGUCCCAUAUUGGGCUCCCUGCAUGGAGCCUGCUUCUCCCUCUGCCUCUGUCUCUGCCCCUCUGUGUGUGUCUCUCAUGAACAAAUAAAAUCUUAAAAAAAAAUUUAAUGCACUCUCAAUGGGGGUUGACAUUGUUUUGGAAAAUACCAUGUUUGGAUGAUGGAGCAUCUCCAUGCUUUUCAUCUUUAAAACUACUUCCUAACAGGAUUUAAGAGAUUCUGGGAUGCAACUUCUAAUAACCAAAGAAAUUAAGCAUUCUCAAUAACUGUUUUAGGUUUUAAGUUCAUGUACGUUUGAAGUUAAUUGAGGAGUAUAUACCUACUGCCAUUUUAUUCAUUGUUUUUGGUUUUGUAGUUCUCUGGUUCCUUUCUUAUCUCUUUCCUUUUGGUUUGAUGAGUUUUUGUUGUCAUGUUUGAGUUUUUUUUUUUUUUUCUUAAUUUUAUUUGUGAGAAACACAGAGAAGCAGAGACAUAGGCAGAGGAAGGAGGCGGCUUCCUGUGGGAACCCCUGGAUCAUGACCUGAACUGAAGGCAGACACUCAACCACUGAGCCAUUCAGGUGCACCAUCUUUUUUGUAUCUAUUGUAGGUUUUGGUUUAUGGUUACCAUGAGACUCCUGUAUACAUACUGGUCUAUUUUAAACUGGUAAUUGCUUAGGUUCAAACACAUCCAAAGAGCACUAAUUUUUACUCCUUGCCCCCUCUACAUCUUGUUUUUGACAUCUGACAUUUUUUGUAUAUCCCUUAAAUUACUAUUCAUUGUAGUUACAAUUGAUUUUACUUGUUUUGUCUUUAACCUUCAUACUAACUUUUUAAGUGUCUGCUUUCCUCUCUUUAUAUUUACCAGGGACAUUUUUUCCCUUCAUAUAUUUUUUUUUAUUUCCAGUUGGGACUUUUCUGCUUAAAGAAGACCCUUUAACAUUUAAGGCUGGUACUGGUUUAGCUUAUACUUGUCUGGGAAACCCUUUUCCUUUAAUUCUGAGUGUUCCAACUAAGAAUAUUUUAUCCUGCAAGGGUAGGUUUUUCCCUUUCGGCAUUUUAAAUACAUCCAGCCACUCCCUUCUGGCCAACAAAAUUUCUGCUGUAAAAUCAACCAAAUACCUUCUGGAGGUUUCCCUUGUAUGUGGCUUUUUCUCGUGCUGCCUUUAAGAUUUUCUCUUUACUUUUUGCCGUUUUAAUUCUAAUACAUCUGGUGUGGCUCACAUUACAGACUGUUUCCUGGGUGUCUGUUUCCUUACCCAGAUUAGCAAAGUUUUUAGCUAUUAGUUCUUCAAAUAAAUUUGCUUCUCUCUUCUCCUUCUGAGACCCCUAUUAAUGUGCAUAUUAGCACACUUUUUGUUCUCCUAGUGGUCCUUACACUUAACACACACACACACACACACACACACACACACACACACACACGCCGUUUGGCUUGGAUUCUUCACUCUACCAGAUUGCUAAUCCUUUCUUUUGCAUCCUCUGUUAAUAUCCCCUAGUGUAUUUUUCAUUUGUUAUAUUCUUCAGCUCUGUUCUUUUUUAAAAAUAUUUUGUCUCUUCGUUGGAGUUCAUCCACUCUUCUCUCAAGUCUAAUGAAUUUGAUCAUCACUUGGAACUCUACAGGUAGACUACUUAUCUCCAUUUUGUUCUUUUUCUGAGGCUUUGUCCUCUUCUGUUUGGAACAUAUACUUCAUGUUAUUUGCCUUUCUGUGUUCAUUGCUAUAAAUUAGGCAGAACAGCUAUCUCUCACAGUCUUGAAGGAGUGGUCCUGUGUAGGAAUGCCUCGUGUAGACUGCAUGUUCCUGCCAGCUUUGAAUGGUGAGCUGGGAUGGGAGCAGGUGUCAGCCAGGGGUGUCCUAUGGGACACUGUGCUAGGACCAUGAGCUGGUGGAGGCUUGAGGCUCACUUGGGUAGCCUAGCAGGCUGGCUACAGUGCCUGGACCCUGCUCCUUGUACACUAUUAAGAUGGGGAACAUAAACAAUAGUAAUCAGCAAUGCUUUCCACCUGAGUCCCAGCAGUUUCCCUACCAUUCCACACUUGGGUUAGAAAAUGGGUCUCCUUCACUCAUAGGUUAAUUGCCCUUUAAACCACUAGUAUGGGGCAGCCCCGGUGGUGCAGCGGUAUAGCGCCGCCUGCAGCCUGGGGUGUGAUCCUGGAGAUCUGGGAUCGAGUCCCAUGUCAGGUUCCCUGCAUGGAGCCUGCUUCUCCCACUUCCUGUGUCCCAGCCAUUCUCUCUCUCUCUCUCUCAAUAAAUAAAAAUAAACCACCGGUAUGUUUUUUUUGCUGUGCCCAGGGUUGGCAAGUCUACACACAGGCUCCUCCAUGAUCUCCCUCCCUGUGUAGUUUGUUGUAUUGGGGGUGGGGUUCCUGUAACUACUGUGUUGGUCUCUCCCACUCUCAGUGAGCCUCAGUUCUUCAAGAACAAUUGCUUUAUAUGUAGAUUCGAAUUUAUCAACUCCCUACCCUACUAUCCUGGACUACCUACGAAAAGUUUAGACUUCUAUUUUUGGAGAAGUUGUCAGAAGGAUGGUUUUUCCAAAGUAUUUGUUUCUGGUAGUUGUUACCUCAUGUUGUCUUCUUUACCACUGAGACACAGACUCAGGAAUUUAAUAUGUCAAGAAAACAUUCUUAUACAGAAGGGCUUAUGAUGGGGGAGACAACCAGAACUAGACUGUUUUCCUGCUCCACCCCAGACCUGUGCCAGUAGGUAAAUAGGAGGACACCUGGCAGAAAUCAGCCUACUGGAAACUACAGUGACCUAAUGUAAAAUCAUAGAAGUAGUAAUUUAUUUAGCUCUCUACCACUCAGAAUGUAUUGAAACUCGUUAUUUUACUUAAUUUUUUGAGCUGAGCCAGGUUCCCCUUUUGAAAAUAGGACUUAUAUUACUCCUAAGUCCAGUGCUCUCUGAGCCCUACAAACAUACUAGUAAUUUAACUUUCUGAGCCUCAGCUAUAAAGUUUAAUUAUCUUCAUCAUCUUUCACUUCAGGUAUUGUGUUCAGUGGAAAAA